UCCCUCUUGCAAUAUGUGCUUUUGAUCAUGAAACUGCUGAGAAAAGGCUCCUUCUAAACCACAAAACAAGGUUGCUGCUGGUGCUGGGGCCCGAGGAGGUCCGCGCCGGAGGAGGGCCACAGGGACUGAGCGAGUGACAGACGCACCACCCGUCAAUGCUGCAACCCUGUAAGGCCUCCAUGGACUCUCUACGUGAGUGUAGAAUGAAUCAAGCCGACUCAAACACAGCAGCUAUUCCACAUGCAGUGGAAGAUAUUCAAGGAGACGACAGAUGGAUAUCUCAGCACAACAGAUUUGUCCUGGAUGGUAAAGACAAAAAGCCUAACGUUGUGUUUGUGGGAGACCCCAUGGUGCAGUUAAUGCAGCAACACGAGAUAUGGCGAGAGCUUUUUUCCCCGUUUCACGCACUGAAUUUUAGAACUGAGGAAGAUACAAGACAUGUUUUAUAGAAAAUAAAGAGUAGAGAACUGGAGAAUAUUAAA
Long non-coding RNA from Homo sapiens (human), 482 nucleotides. Ensembl annotates it as PAFAH1B2 pseudogene 2. Its record names the gene PAFAH1B2P2. NCBI's taxonomy places the organism in Eukaryota, Metazoa, Chordata, Mammalia, Primates, Hominidae. The record is from Ensembl.